RNAcentral lists this ribosomal RNA (494 nucleotides) under uncultured bacterium. Its description in RNAcentral is "partial 16S ribosomal RNA". It matches the Rfam family "Bacterial small subunit ribosomal RNA", at positions 28 to 506 of the family's 1533-position model. The record is from RNAcentral.
GACGAACGCUGGCGGCGUGCCUAAUACAUGCAAGUAGAACGCUGAAGGAGGAGCUUGCUUCUCUGGAUGAGUUGCGAACGGGUGAGUAACGCGUAGGUAACCUGCCUGGUAGCGGGGGAUAACUAUUGGAAACGAUAGCUAAUACCGCAUAAUAGCAGUUAUUGCAUGAUAACUGUUUGAAAGGUGCAAUUGCACCACUACCAGAUGGACCUGCGUUGUAUUAGCUAGUUGGUGGGGUAACGGCUCACCAAGGCGACGAUACAUAGCCGACCUGAGAGGGUGAUCGGCCACACUGGGACUGAGACACGGCCCAGACUCCUACGGGAGGCAGCAGUAGGGAAUCUUCGGCAAUGGACGGAAGUCUGACCGAGCAACGCCGCGUGAGUGAAGAAGGUUUUCGGAUCGUAAAGCUCUGUUGUAAGAGAAGAACGAGUGUGAGAGUGGAAAGUUCACACUGUGACGGUAUCUUACCAGAAAGGGACGGCUAACUACGU